AGAAGGUUACAAAAUAAUGGACUUUUCAUUUUUUUAUUAAAAUUUUUGCUUUAAUCUUUUCAAAAUUUGGAGACUUAAAUGAAACUACCCUCAACUAAAUGAUGCUAUCCUUUUUUUGUGAAAAAAAUAUCAGUUUAUGAUUAAUGUUAAUUUUUAGUAGUAUUCAAUGUGGAAGCAAAAUAGAUGUUAGUAAAUUUGUUAUUAGAAUGUGCUCCCUGGAGAAUCCUAGAAAGACCAUUACCAUAAUAAGAAAAACAACAAAAAUCUUACAAGUUGUAUAUUUGGUAGCCAUAUUAGAACAACUUCUCGAAAAUUUUUUGUUCUGUUCAUCUGGAUGUAGAUACAGAUACAGGAGAUUCUAGGAAUGAGUUUGCAGAUAAAGUUCAGCAAUUAAUCUCCCAAUAACUCAGUUGAAAAUACCUUCCAUGGGUUUGAAACAGAUGAUCAAUAUACAAAUACACAAGAUAUGGCAACAUGAUUGGGAUACAGAAAUUCAUAAUAAGUUAUAUUCAUUCAUGCCAAAACUUCAUCCAUCCAAAUGAAUGCAAUAUUCUUUCUAACUGAUAUUUUGAUGUUAUAAAUGCAAAAAUGUGUAUGGGUCAUACUCAACUGAUCCAUACAUUUCUUGCAGCUAUGUCUACAUAGAGUAUACUUGCUGUCAUGUUCCUCUUAUUAUCUAGCACAUGCUACUGAUCUGUUUUUCAAUGUAAUGCUACCUGACAGCAAAAUUUUAAACUUUUAUAAAAUGUUCACUAUAUACACAUUUCAAUUGGUCUUCUGCUUCAGUCACAUGAAUUAUUACAUAAUAUAACAGUUAUUUCUUUUCUAUCAGACAUCAACUUACUCUUCAAAAUAUGACUCAUAUAUCUUGAUAAUAUUACAACUACCUCUGACAGUUUAUAUUUACUACUUUCUAGCACAUUAUGGCCCAUGUGCUGAUGUGCAAAAUACAACAAAACAGCAACAACAAAUAUUUGGUAGCAGUUGAAAUAAAAUUUCUUAAAGACAAACGUGACUAUCAGAUUGUUUUGUCAAAAUUUCUGAAUUUUAAAUUGAAGAUUUUUUGCCAAAAACCCAAAAAUUAGAAAAUUUUUAGAAACUGGCAAAUUUUAGAAAAUUUGCCAGUUUUUUAAAAAAUUGACUACUGUAUGCUCUAAAAUGUCUGAUUUUAGAUCAUACAGGAAAUAGG
This 1189-nucleotide long non-coding RNA is filed under the name Androctonus crassicauda. Lineage: Eukaryota; Metazoa; Arthropoda; Arachnida; Scorpiones; Buthidae. The record is from RNAcentral.